AACGAACGCUGGCGGCAGGCUUAACACAUGCAAGUCGAGCGAGACCUUCGGGUCUAGCGGCGGACGGGUGAGUAACGCGUGGGAACGUGCCCUUCUCUACGGAAUAGCCCCGGGAAACUGGGAGUAAUACCGUAUACGCCCUUUGGGGGAAAGAUUUAUCGGAGAAGGAUCGGCCCGCGUUGGAUUAGGUAGUUGGUGGGGUAAUGGCCCACCAAGCCGACGAUCCAUAGCUGGUUUGAGAGGAUGAUCAGCCACACUGGGACUGAGACACGGCCCAGACUCCUACGGGAGGCAGCAGUGGGGAAUCUUAGACAAUGGGGGCAACCCUGAUCUAGCCAUGCCGCGUGAGUGAUGAACGCCUUAGGGUUGUAAAGCUCUUUCAGCUGGGAAGAUAAUGACGGUACCAGCAGAAGAAGCCCCGGCUAACUCCGUG
Molecule: ribosomal RNA, 433 nt
Filed under: uncultured bacterium
Lineage: Bacteria
Description: partial 16S ribosomal RNA
Rfam family: Bacterial small subunit ribosomal RNA
Source: RNAcentral